CUAACAUGUGUGCGAGUCAAUGGGUCUCGAAUAAGCCCAGAGGCGCAAUGAAAGCAAAGGCCGGACCACUCCGGCUGAGUUGGGAUCCUUCCGCCUUCGAGCGGAGGGCGCACCAACGACCCGUCCUAUCCGAUUUAUCGGUUGGGCGGAGUAUGAGCAUACACGUUGGGACCCGAAAGAUGGUGAACUAUGCCCGGGCAGGACGAGGCCAGAGGAAACUCUGGUGGAGGUCCGUAGCGGUUCUGACGUGCAAAUCGAUCGUCAGAUCCGGGUCUAGGGGCGAAAGACUAAUCGAACCAUCUA
RNAcentral lists this ribosomal RNA (303 nucleotides) under Crustulina sticta. RNAcentral's name for it is "eukaryotic LSU rRNA". It matches the Rfam family "Eukaryotic large subunit ribosomal RNA", at positions 675 to 946 of the family's 3401-position model. Lineage: Eukaryota; Metazoa; Arthropoda; Arachnida; Araneae; Theridiidae. The record is from RNAcentral.